RNAcentral lists this ribosomal RNA (700 nucleotides) under Vibrio vulnificus. RNAcentral describes it as "bacterial SSU rRNA". It matches the Rfam family "Bacterial small subunit ribosomal RNA", at positions 491 to 1190 of the family's 1533-position model. Lineage: Bacteria; Pseudomonadati; Pseudomonadota; Gammaproteobacteria; Vibrionales; Vibrionaceae. The record is from RNAcentral.
CACCGGCUAACUCCGUGCCAGCAGCCGCGGUAAUACGGAGGGUGCGAGCGUUAAUCGGAAUUACUGGGCGUAAAGCGCAUGCAGGUGGUUUGUUAAGUCAGAUGUGAAAGCCCGGGGCUCAACCUCGGAAUUGCAUUUGAAACUGGCAGACUAGAGUACUGUAGAGGGGGGUAGAAUUUCAGGUGUAGCGGUGAAAUGCGUAGAGAUCUGAAGGAAUACCGGUGGCGAAGGCGGCCCCCUGGACAGAUACUGACACUCAGAUGCGAAAGCGUGGGGAGCAAACAGGAUUAGAUACCCUGGUAGUCCACGCCGUAAACGAUGUCUACUUGGAGGUUGUGGCCUUGAGCCGUGGCUUUCGGAGCUAACGCGUUAAGUAGACCGCCUGGGGAGUACGGUCGCAAGAUUAAAACUCAAAUGAAUUGACGGGGGCCCGCACAAGCGGUGGAGCAUGUGGUUUAAUUCGAUGCAACGCGAAGAACCUUACCUACUCUUGACAUCCAGAGAACUUUCCAGAGAUGGAUUGGUGCCUUCGGGAACUCUGAGACAGGUGCUGCAUGGCUGUCGUCAGCUCGUGUUGUGAAAUGUUGGGUUAAGUCCCGCAACGAGCGCAACCCUUAUCCUUGUUUGCCAGCGAGUAAUGUCGGGAACUCCAGGGAGACUGCCGGUGAUAAACCGGAGGAAGGUGGGGACGACGUCAAGU